Molecule: microRNA precursor, 107 nt
Filed under: Glycine max (soybean)
Lineage: Eukaryota; Viridiplantae; Streptophyta; Magnoliopsida; Fabales; Fabaceae
Description: miR10409 stem-loop (gma-MIR10409)
Source: miRBase by way of RNAcentral
GUGGCUAUAACCUCUGAAGAUAUUAAAAGCCUAAUGGAACAACCCCAUUUAUUGGUGUAGUUUGCCUGUUCCAUUAGGCUUUUAAUAUCUUCAAAGGUUACUUCAUC